This 115-nucleotide ribosomal RNA is filed under the name Heterocephalus glaber (naked mole-rat). Lineage: Eukaryota; Metazoa; Chordata; Mammalia; Rodentia; Bathyergidae. The record is from RNAcentral.
GUCUAUGCCCACACACCCUGAACGUGACCCAUCUCAUCUGAUCUCAGAAGCUAAGCAGGGUCGGGCCUGGUUAGUACUUGGAUGGGAGUCCAAGAACUUCCUGCUGGAUUAAGUG